AGCGGCGGAUGGGUGAGUAACACGUGGGCAACCUGCCUAUAAGACUGGGAUAACUUACGGAAACGUGAGCUAAUACCGGAUGAAACCUCUUAUCACCUGGUAAGAGGAUGAAAGAUGGCUUUUAGCUAUCACUUAUAGAUGGGCCCGCGGCGCAUUAGCUAGUUGGUGAGAUAAAAGCUCACCAAGGCAACGAUGCGUAGCCGACCUGAGAGGGUGAUCGGCCACACUGGGACUGAGACACGGCCCAGACUCCUACGGGAGGCAGCAGUAGGGAAUCUUCCGCAAUGGACGAAAGUCUGACGGAGCAACGCCGCGUGAACGAAGAAGGUUCUCGGAUCGUAAAGUUCUGUUGUUAGGGAAGAACACGUACCAUUCGAAUAGGGUGGUACCUUGACGGUACCUAACGAGAAAGCCCCGGCUAACUACGUGCCAGCAGCCGCGGUAAUACGUAGGGGGCAAGCGUUGUCCGGAAUUAUUGGGCGUAAAGCGCUCGCAGGCGGUUUUUUAAGUCUGAUGUGAAAUCUUGCGGCUCAACCGCAAGCGGUCAUUGGAAACUGGAGAACUUGAGGACAGAAGAGGAGAGUGGAAUUCCACGUGUAGCGGUGAAAUGCGUAGAGAWUGUGGAGGAACACCAGUGGCGAAGGCGACUCUCUGGUCUGUAACUGACGCUGAGGAGCGAAAGCGUGGGUAGCGAACAGGAUUAGAUACCCUGGUAGUCCACGCCGUAAACGAUGAGUGCUAGGUGUUAGGGGGUUUCCGCCCCUUAGUGCUGGCGUUAACGCAUUAAGCACU
This 792-nucleotide ribosomal RNA is filed under the name Amphibacillus sp. PO2-18. RNAcentral describes it as "bacterial SSU rRNA". It matches the Rfam family "Bacterial small subunit ribosomal RNA", at positions 94 to 868 of the family's 1533-position model. The record is from RNAcentral. Lineage: Bacteria; Bacillati; Bacillota; Bacilli; Caryophanales; Bacillaceae.